CGACGUGAGGAACCUGCCUUGGAGUGGGGAAUAACAGUUAGAAAUAGCUGCUAAUACCGCAUAAUGCAGCGAAGUCGCAUGGCUUUGCUGCCAAAGAUUUAUCGCUCUGAGAUGGCCUCGCGUCUGAUUAGAUAGUUGGCGGGGUAACGGCCCACCAAGUCGACGAUCAGUAGCCGGACCGAGAGGUUGGCCGGCCACAUUGGGACUGAGACACGGCCCAGACUCCUACGGAAGGCAGCAG
Molecule: ribosomal RNA, 241 nt
Filed under: uncultured bacterium
Lineage: Bacteria
Description: partial 16S ribosomal RNA
Rfam family: Bacterial small subunit ribosomal RNA
Source: RNAcentral